RNAcentral lists this ribosomal RNA (950 nucleotides) under Staphylococcus aureus. Its description in RNAcentral is "partial 23S ribosomal RNA". It matches the Rfam family "Bacterial large subunit ribosomal RNA", at positions 1580 to 2531 of the family's 2925-position model. Lineage: Bacteria; Bacillati; Bacillota; Bacilli; Caryophanales; Staphylococcaceae. The record is from RNAcentral.
GUGUCUUCGAGUCGUUGAUUUCACACUGCCGAGAAAAGCCUCUAGAUAGAAAAUAGGUGCCCGUACCGCAAACCGACACAGGUAGUCAAGAUGAGAAUUCUAAGGUGAGCGAGCGAACUCUCGUUAAGGAACUCGGCAAAAUGACCCCGUAACUUCGGGAGAAGGGGUGCUCUUUAGGGUUAACGCCCAGAAGAGCCGCAGUGAAUAGGCCCAAGCGACUGUUUAUCAAAAACACAGGUCUCUGCUAAACCGUAAGGUGAUGUAUAGGGGCUGACGCCUGCCCGGUGCUGGAAGGUUAAGAGGAGUGGUUAGCUUCUGCGAAGCUACGAAUCGAAGCCCCAGUAAACGGCGGCCGUAACUAUAACGGUCCUAAGGUAGCGAAAUUCCUUGUCGGGUAAGUUCCGACCCGCACGAAAGGCGUAACGAUUUGGGCACUGUCUCAACGAGAGACUCGGUGAAAUCAUAGUACCUGUGAAGAUGCAGGUUACCCGCGACAGGACGGAAAGACCCCGUGGAGCUUUACUGUAGCCUGAUAUUGAAAUUCGGCACAGCUUGUACAGGAUAGGUAGGAGCCUUUGAAACGUGAGCGCUAGCUUACGUGGAGGCGCUGGUGGGAUACUACCCUAGCUGUGUUGGCUUUCUAACCCGCACCACUUAUCGUGGUGGGAGACAGUGUCAGGCGGGCAGUUUGACUGGGGCGGUCGCCUCCUAAAAGGUAACGGAGGCGCUCAAAGGUUCCCUCAGAAUGGUUGGAAAUCAUUCAUAGAGUGUAAAGGCAUAAGGGAGCUUGACUGCGAGACCUACAAGUCGAGCAGGGUCGAAAGACGGACUUAGUGAUCCGGUGGUUCCGCAUGGAAGGGCCAUCGCUCAACGGAUAAAAGCUACCCCGGGGAUAACAGGCUUAUCUCCCCCAAGAGUUCACAUCGACGGGGAGGUUUGGCACCUCGAUG